GGAAAUGGGCUGGGAAGCGCCGGGAUCCGGCGGGGACACUGCUGUCCCAGCUGGCCCUGCUGCGGUGCCUGGGCAUCCCUGCUGAGUCUCCUGGCAUGAGGUGGCUUUGGGUCGUGGCUUUGGUGGCACCCGCCUGCACUGUCCCCUACAACGGCACGGCAGGGAGCACUGGGGAUGGGGACAACGGGGACAGAGCCCCCUGCACCCCUCAGCACGGCUCCCCGGGCACUGAGGUGC
RNAcentral lists this long non-coding RNA (237 nucleotides) under Geospiza fortis (medium ground-finch). Its description in RNAcentral is "lncRNA (ENSGFOG00000009383.1)". The record is from RNAcentral. Lineage: Eukaryota; Metazoa; Chordata; Aves; Passeriformes; Thraupidae.